GAGAUUGUCUCCGUAACCUUCCUUCUUCAUGAAUGAAUACCUGCGCAAGCUUUGUCUCAGCAAACUUUACAUGACAACAACCCCAUUCAUACAGAGAAGGUCAAGCUCUGUCAGGUAUAAAUAGCACAGAACCUUUUGGAACCACUGUGUCUGCAAACCGAGGUGGAAUUCAGCCCACAGCCCUUGCUUUCAGUACGAGUCGAGCAUUUUCUGAAUUCCAUCCUGCCCACAGACAGCAUGCUAUGCAGUAUGCAGUCCUUCUGAGCGUGUAUUUCUCAGAGGGAGAUAAACUAAGAUGGCUUUUCUUAGUCUUCAGAACAUUCUUUUCUACACAUAGCAGAGAUGCUGCCUAGAGUGAGAAAGUUUCGCGAUGCCUGACAACUUCCACGGUACAGUGGGAACAGCAUUUUGAGGUGGCAAAACUUCAGCUGAGAAUUCAAUAGCUGAAACAGCAACAUCCACAAGCCUGAGCCUCAACCUUAUAAGAGUUACGGGCAGCUUCUCCACGGACUACAGACUGCAACCGCUGGCAUCAAUACUAGACAAUAUUUUGUUCCUGGAUGCCUCAGAGGGAAAGCACUUCCACUGGCAGGCAGAGAGUUCGCCCAGGAAACAAUUCAGUUGCCUGAAGACAAUCAUCUACUGCCAUCCCAGCUGCCCCCACAGCAUCUGAGAUAUCCACACAGGACGUAGAGAUGACACGGGAUCUAAAAGAGACCCCCACCUUCUGGAGCAGCACCUUGGGCUAAUUUUGGACAUUUAUUUUCAGCUAUUUUACAUUUUUCUCUGGCAAAAGGAAAAGUGAUUGAUCAGUGCAUAGAGAGAAAUUGAUGAAAAAUGCAUAAGAUGGGGGAAAAAAAAAUAAAAAAUACAACAGUUGAAUGUGGUGAAUGAGGAUAUGAUCUGUCCCUGAGCUUGGUACUUCAUCAAUAUUUGACCAUUUAAAUUUUAAAGCAAUAGUUAAUGAGGCAAAUGAAAAACUUAAUGUUAUGUGUAUAAAGAUGAUUAGGAUCAAAUUAUGUACAUGAGAA
Oxyura jamaicensis (ruddy duck) is the source of this 1031-nucleotide long non-coding RNA. RefSeq lists it as uncharacterized. The record is from RefSeq and is a predicted model, not a curated record. NCBI's taxonomy places the organism in Eukaryota, Metazoa, Chordata, Aves, Anseriformes, Anatidae. The transcript has 3 exons.